AGGUGGUCCGUGGCGCGUUCGCUUUAUUUAUGGCGCACAUUACACGGUCGACCUCU
RNAcentral lists this non-coding RNA (56 nucleotides) under Pteropus alecto (black flying fox). The record is from RNAcentral. RNAcentral also lists the same sequence under 11 other names. Lineage: Eukaryota; Metazoa; Chordata; Mammalia; Chiroptera; Pteropodidae.